This 427-nucleotide ribosomal RNA is filed under the name uncultured bacterium. RNAcentral's name for it is "partial 16S ribosomal RNA". It matches the Rfam family "Bacterial small subunit ribosomal RNA", at positions 354 to 796 of the family's 1533-position model. The record is from RNAcentral.
GUGGGGAAUUUUGGACAAUGGGCGCAAGCCUGAUCCAGCGACGCCGCGUGGAGGACGAAGGCCUUCGGGUUGUAAACUCCUUUUGGAGGGGAAGAAUAAAUUGACGGUACCCUCAGAAAAAGCCACGGCUAACUACGUGCCAGCAGCCGCGGUAAUACGUAGGUGGCGAGCGUUACUCGGAAUUACUAGGCGUAAAGCGUAUGUAGGUGGUUAGAUAAGUCUAUGGUGAAAUUUCCUGGCUUAACUGGGAAGGGACAUAGAUACUAUCUGGCUUGAGUGUGGGAGGGGGAGACGGAAUUCCUGGUGUAGCGGUGAAAUGCGUAGAUAUCAGGAGGAACACCGAUGGCGAAAGCAGUCUCCUGGCCCAAUACUGACACUGAGGUACGAAAGCUAGGGUAGCAAACAGGAUUAGAUACCCUAGUAGUCC